This 75-nucleotide transfer RNA is filed under the name uncultured Candidatus Planktophila sp. RNAcentral describes it as "tRNA-Arg". It matches the Rfam family "tRNA". From Rfam's summary of the family: Transfer RNA (tRNA) molecules are approximately 80 nucleotides in length. Their secondary structure includes four short double-helical elements and three loops (D, anti-codon, and T loops). The record is from RNAcentral. Lineage: Bacteria; Bacillati; Actinomycetota; Actinomycetes; Candidatus Nanopelagicales; Candidatus Nanopelagicaceae.
GCGCCUGUAGCUCAGUCGGAUAGAGCACCUGCCUUCUAAGCAGGUUGUCGCUGGUUCGAUUCCAGCCAGGCGCAC